Molecule: transfer RNA, 100 nt
Filed under: Mycolicibacterium senegalense
Lineage: Bacteria; Bacillati; Actinomycetota; Actinomycetes; Mycobacteriales; Mycobacteriaceae
Description: tRNA-Pro
Source: RNAcentral
CGGUUCCGUUGGUGCGUGUCGGUCGGGUGAAAGACGCCGGGAUCGUCGUCCAGCCGCAUGACCGGUCGGGCGGCCGCGGGUUCGAUCGUGUGGGAACCGU